Molecule: unclassified non-coding RNA, 331 nt
Filed under: Sordariomycetes sp.
Lineage: Eukaryota; Fungi; Ascomycota; Sordariomycetes
Description: partial contains 5.8S ribosomal RNA, internal transcribed spacer 2, and large subunit ribosomal RNA
Rfam family: 5.8S ribosomal RNA (bases 1-69)
Source: RNAcentral
GUGAAUCAUCGAAUCUUUGAACGCACAUUGCGCCGCCCGUCACUGGGUGGCAUGCCUGUCUGAGCGUCGCCAUAAAACCUCACCGGCCCCUCGGUUUCGGGGCGUGUCGGUGGUCAUGGGCGUCUCGCCCCCUGGCCCGCAAGGGCGUCGGGGGGGCGUGGCCUGAAAGUCAUUGGUCGCUGGCCCCUUCAAGGGUUCCUCGGUGUGCGAGUCUCAUUGACGUCUCGCCGGGGACGGAUGGAGGGGGAGCGGAGACCCUAAACUGUUGAACCCUCGACCUCAGAUCAGGUAGGACUACGGGCUGAACUUAAGCAUAUCAAUAAGCGGAGGA